Molecule: ribosomal RNA, 222 nt
Filed under: uncultured bacterium
Lineage: Bacteria
Description: partial 16S ribosomal RNA
Rfam family: Bacterial small subunit ribosomal RNA
Source: RNAcentral
AGUAACGCGUAGGAAUCUACCCAGUAGCGGGGGAUAACAUGUGGAAACGCAUGCUAAUACCGCAUACGCCCUAAGGGGGAAAGCAGGGGAUCUUCGGACCUUGCGCUAUUGGAUGAGCCUGCGUCGGAUUAGCUAGUUGGUGGGGUAAUGGCCCACCAAGGCGACGAUCCGUAGCUGGUCUGAGAGGAUGAUCAGCCACACUGGGACUGAGACACGGCCCAG